Molecule: ribosomal RNA, 492 nt
Filed under: uncultured bacterium
Lineage: Bacteria
Description: partial 16S ribosomal RNA
Rfam family: Bacterial small subunit ribosomal RNA
Source: RNAcentral
AGUGAACGCUGGCGGUAGGCCUAACACAUGCAAGUCGAACGGCAGCACAGUAAGAGCUUGCUCUUACGGGUGGCGAGUGGCGGACGGGUGAGGAAUACAUCGGAAUCUACUUUUUCGUGGGGGAUAACGUAGGGAAACUUACGCUAAUACCGCAUACGACCUACGGGUGAAAGCAGGGGAUCUUCCGACCUUUCGCGAUUGAAUGAGCCGAUGUCGGAUUAGCUAGUUGGCGGGGUAAAGGCCCACCAAGGCGACGAUCCGUAGCUGGUCUGAGAGGAUGAUCAGCCACACUGGAACUGAGACACGGUCCAGACUCCUACGGGAGGCAGCAGUGGGGAAUAUUGGACAAUGGGCGCAAGCCUGAUCCAGCCAUACCGCGUGGGUGAAGAAGGCCUUCGGGUUGUAAAGCCCUUUUGUUGGGAAAGAAAAGCAGCAGGUUAAUACCCCGCUGUUCUGACGGUACCCAAAGAAUAAGCACCGGCUAACUUCGUG